RNAcentral lists this unclassified non-coding RNA (353 nucleotides) under soil metagenome. RNAcentral's name for it is "partial contains 5.8S ribosomal RNA, internal transcribed spacer 2, and large subunit ribosomal RNA". The stretch from base 1 to 120 matches the Rfam family "5.8S ribosomal RNA", at positions 35 to 154 of the family's 154-position model. The record is from RNAcentral.
GAUGAAGAACGUAGCGAAAUGCGAUAAGUAAUGUGAAUUGCAGAAUUCAGUGAAUCAUCGAAUCUUUGAACGCACAUUGCGCCCGCCAGUAUUCUGGCGGGCAUGCCUGUUCGAGCGUCAUUACAACCCUCAGGCCCCCGGGCCUGGCGUUGGGGAUCGGCGGAAGCCCCCUGCGGGCACAACGCCGUCCCCCAAAUAAAGUGGCGGUCCCGCCGCAGCUUCCAUUGCGUAGUAGCUAACACCUCGCAACUGGAGAGCGGCGCGGCCACGCCGUAAAACACCCAACUUCUGAAUGUUGACCUCGAAUCAGGUAGGAAUACCCGCUGAACUUAAGCAUAUCAAUAAGCGGAGGA